Molecule: non-coding RNA, 439 nt
Organism: Cinara cedri
Lineage: Eukaryota; Metazoa; Arthropoda; Insecta; Hemiptera; Aphididae
Source: the annotation of a GenBank genome assembly
CGCCGAAGAAUGUGCACGCGUCUGUUUAGCAUUCAAUGCCGAUCGACGACGGUUUACUAUGUACGCACGCAUAACACUCGAUUGAAAAACGACAUUUAACGUUUUACCGCCCGGGGACGUUAAGCUGUAUAAAUGCUCGCCUAUUAACGCACUGACUUUGCGAUUUCGUCUUCUUUCAAUACUGCGAUUUUCUCGUCCGUUCGACAGUUUUCUCGGUUAAAGUAUCGAGAAACCUCGGUCCACUCGUUUUCACGGGUUUUCUUUUUUCUUUUUUUUUUUUUUUUUUUUUUUUUUUUUUUUACGCCAUUUGAAUUUCAUCUACUUCUUUUUCUUCGACUCCAAUACAUAUUCCGCGACAAUUUAAGCCGCUACUUACCGUCACCCGAGUCACCCGAGUCGUCCGUAUCUAUAGUUGACUAUAUUCGAUUUUAUUCGAUAC